Molecule: ribosomal RNA, 253 nt
Filed under: uncultured bacterium
Lineage: Bacteria
Description: partial 16S ribosomal RNA
Rfam family: Bacterial small subunit ribosomal RNA
Source: RNAcentral
UACGUAGGUGGCAAGCGUUGUCCGGAUUUACUGGGUGUAAAGGGCGUGCAGCCGGGCUGACAAGUCAGAUGUGAAAUCCCGCGGCUCAACCGCGGAACUGCAUUUGAAACUGUCAGUCUUGAGUACCGGAGAGGUCAUCGGAAUUCCUGGUGUAGCGGUGAAAUGCGUAGAUAUCAGGAGGAACACCGGCGGCGAAGGCGGCCUGCUGGACCGCGACUGACGUUGAGGCUCGAAAGCGUGGGGAGCAAACAGG